GAUUUUAUAGUUUAAAAAAAACAUUAAUUUUGUAAAUUAAAAUUUGAUUAUUUUUCAUUAAAUCU
Molecule: transfer RNA, 65 nt
Filed under: Folsomotoma octooculata
Lineage: Eukaryota; Metazoa; Arthropoda; Collembola; Entomobryomorpha; Isotomidae
Description: tRNA-Thr
Source: RNAcentral